GUGAUCCGUGCUCUGCUCAUUGCGCGUUUCCAGAACCGCACAAAACCCACUCCACACAAGGAUGCGGUGCAUUUUGCUUCAAACACAGAGGGAGAGGAAAACACUCGAGUCUCUUGUUUGGAACAUCUGUGGGCUUACACGGAGCAAAGACCUUUUCUGCUUUAUCCCACUGCCCAGCUGGAGAGGAACCUGGGAGUACGUGGGAGGCUGGGGAGAGACCCAAGCUGACCAAAGGGACAUUCCAGACCCUCUGACAUCCUGCUCAGUACUUCAUGCUGCGUGCAAGAAGGGGGAAGGAGGGGACAUUUGGGGUGAUGGCAUUUGUCCUCCCAAGACCCUGUGAGGCCUGAAGGUGCCCUGCUGCCCUGGAGAUGCAAAACACCUGCCUGCCAAUGGGAAAUGGUGAAUGAGCUCUUUGGGGGCUUUUGCUUGUGUGUGUGGUUUCUGCAUUCCCUAUGCAACUGAAUUAUUCUCCACCUGUGAGUUUUCCAGCUUUUACCCUUCCAGUUCUCUGCCCAGUCCAUCCUGCUGGUGGGACAUUAGGCGAGAAUGGCUGUGUGUGGUGCUGGGUUGGUGAAUGGGGUUAAACCACAACUCACAGCCACAGUUUUUCCAUUCCUUUUUGACAUGAAAUUUCUGUGUAAAAAACCUCCCAGUCCUCUUUAUUUGCAAAAAUAGCCGAAUGUACAGCUUUAACCUAGAGGGAGGCAGACAAUUAGAGGAUAUUGAGAUUUCUAAGGAUGCCUUCCCAUUUUUAUGUUCUAUCAUUGAAUGUUAAUAAUGAAAAUUUUUGGAAUGCAACAUCAUAUGCCUGAAAGCAGAGAGUUCCACAGAUAUGAUCCUUAAAUUUAUUUUUAUUAGUACUCACUGUACCGUGUCAUGUGUACUUCCCCUUUCUGGAUGUUGUAUAUGUUGUAUAACCAUGCAAAUUAUUUCACCAAAAAUAAUUUUCUGUAGAGGAAAUGGAUACUCCUAAAGACACAGUACCAUAUUCCUGUCAUUGGUCUGGAAUUUAAACCCUGUUUUCUCUCAUAAAUGGAUGUAAAAAUCCAAGAUAUAGUGUCUGUAAGAGGUAAGUAUGUGUUCUGAAAAUCAAAUUGUUGAAUUUUCUUUUUUUUUCAAUAAUAUAUCUUUCUAGAGUUUUCCAUCAUAAUGAAUGAAUGUUUUUUCCUGCAUUCAGUUAUUUUUUUUCCUGCAUUCUAAUUCUAUUUGGGUUUUGGGGCUGUUUUUUGGGAUUUUUGUUGUUGUUGUUGUUGUUGUUGUUGUUGUUUUUUGUUCAACACAUUUUUUCCUUCAGUCAGACAAGUCCGUCUGGUCUGUGUCAAACCUAUGUUUUACUUGGCAAGGUCUUCAUGAGUUCCUUCCAUUAAAUGAAAAUCUAUAGGAGCAGUGUGUUGACAGCCUGUGUAACAACUCAGAGGCUUCUGUUCACAAAAUAAAUUCUCUAUGUGUUGAAGAACUCGUAAACUUUCUUUUCCAAAAUUGUGUCUGUUACAUGAUCAAGGUAUUCACAAUAUUAAAAUAACUGUGCCAUGAUUAGUACUUUGAUUGCUAAUAAUGAUCAUGAUUAUCACCAUAAAGAUUCUUUUUAUUCAUACUUAAUCAGCUAACAAUCCUGACAUUUUGCUUUGUCACAUGAAAGGUGGGGUUUUCAAGUGAUUGAGAUGACUUUUAUAUGUUCAUUUAUAUGUUAGAUAUUAACAAGGAGUAAUAAAUAUGCAAAUAAUUUCUUAGGGAAACUGAAUUCUCUGUUAAGAUUAAGCACCUUUUGAAAGCACUUGAGACACAGCCACUGUUAGUCCCAUAUGUGGACAGGAGAAAAAUGGUGUGAAUAUUUGUGUGAUUAACAGACUUGAUAAGGAGUCAGAGAUCUGAAGACCAUCCAAAGUGGUGUCAGGAAGCAGUUGUGAUAGAGUUAACUUUAGCAGCUGCAGCAUCAAACAAACUCAAGACACUCUUCUACUGUGGCCAGUGCAGAGCCCUUUGUAUUCUCUAGAUCAUACAACAAGAGAGAAAAGGAGCAGCAUUCUGAGCAUGUGCUUUCUUACCUACAUUGAAACUUGGAUUUUCAUAUGUCGCAUGUCCUUUCUCCCUUAGUCUCUUUGUCAUCAAGAAAAGAAAAAAAACAAAAACAAACCUAGAAACCCUUGUUUAGCAACUAAUUCCAAACUGGGUAUGUAAUUCUGGAAAGCCUUUCAGCCAGAGGAUCAUUGCUCAGCCCAAUCCCUUAACCCAGAUGUAACCUCACCAAGUGUUUAACGGAGUUCUAAAUUUUUUGUCCCAAAUUCUGCCAAGAGGAGCCUCACAAAAGGGAAGGCAUUUCAGCCUUCAAACCCUAAAUAUUUUGCCUUUAUUUACUUCUGUAGGGAUUUCUCAGUAUUGGGGGAUUUCUCAAUAUUUAACAUUCUUAUUGUCUAAAAUCCCAGAUUAGUCCUGUUCUUCAUUAACUUUCUUCUGAUUUAUAGCAUCCUCUUUUCCUAGGCACUUGGUAAUUCAGAAUAAUGGAUUUAGAUCAUGAUCUUCUAUUUCUUAAUUGUCAUCAAACUGAAAAGUUAAUUUCAAAUGAAAGAUGUAUGAAACCUUACUGUAAUAUAGAAAUAUUACAGUAAUAUUUAUUAUGUAAUAUUUAUUAUGGCAGAUAAAUUAGAAAACUUGCAAGACAAAAAUUGACUUCCAAAACCAAAGAAACCACAGACUUUCAUGUGUGUAUCUAGACAUGCUAACUCAUGAGUCAAAAGUAAAGAUUAUGUUUGAUUAUAUGAAUUGUUCUUUAUGUUUGAUAAAUAAACCAGGAGAGAUUCUCGUUUUAUUAUGCUGAAUAGCUUUUUUGCAGAAACCUAUUGUGCCUUUUGGGAAAUAAGGUGCUCCUCAGCAAGGUAAAGUGCACAAUGACCUUUACUAUCAUGUUCUGUGUUAUAAGGGGACAGUAAGGUCAUCAUUCCUUGUGUAAAAUUUCUACAAGUGCUUGGAUUUUGUGGGUUAGUUUCUUGUUGCCAUUUAACUUAUGCAAUCAAUUUGGGAUUUUUUCCUUCUCCUGGAAAUAAAUACACCACGACACUAACUGGUGAUGCCAUAAAGAGCUGUGAAUUAAUAUGCCCGAAUCUUUUAAGUGUACUAUAAUUCUCAGGAAAAUCUUAGAUUGGUUCACACUUUAUUCUGCAAUAUUCUCAAUGUACAGUAACCAUUUUUCUGUGCUAUUUUACACUGGUUUUUCUACAAACUUUGCGUAGCAAUGCUAUUGCCUUUCAGGAGGCCAAGUGAUAAGUGGAUAGCAAAAGGAUCUGCCUCAUAUGCAAUCUGAAAAAGUAAUCAGCAAGUAGUUUAAGUCCAGUGUGAAGAGUCGUAAAUUGCAAUUUGAGUUUUAGGGCAUGUCUAUAAGGGACAAUCUAACAGUACAAAGUCAUGGCCUAUAAAUGGAAUUUUUUUAUUUCUAUCAACUUUUACAUAUGAAAAAAAGUUAUUUAAACUAAUUUUUCACUGUUGCUUUCAGAUAGUUUCCAUCCUCAUUCUGAUCUUAAGGUCUAUGCAUCUAGUUAAAAAUACUCUUAUACAACAACUCAUUUAAUGUAAGGGAGAAAUGCUUUGCAUGAGGAUGCUAAGUUAUUUUGACUAUGUGCUUUAAAAUCAGCUUUUGCCUUUUUUAUCCUGUUACUGAAAAUUACUUACAAAAAUGCUUUUCAAGCAAAAAUAUUAGUGGUCCUUGAACAAGUGCUCUAAAGUUCAUUUAGCAUCCUUUAUCACAAGUUGCAGAAAUAAUGGGAUAUUUAGACUUUUAACUAAGAGAAAAAUGAAAUUAGUAUUUCAGCUGCUGUCCAAGAGAAGAGGUAUAACUGGUAUAACUAACCCAAACCCCCAGAAUGAUUCUGCUCUUCACUGAGGUUUUUCUAUUAGGAAAAACCUUCCUGAAUUACAUUCUAUACCUCAGCAAGGACAAUUUUGUAAGCAGAAGCAGCAAAAUGCACAAGAGAAAUCACCAGGUAUUGGCAGUUUUCUCUGCAGUCUUGGAAAGAGUUACUUAGAGCACAGUGCUCCUCUCAAGAAGAAGAGAUCUCUCUGAAAUAUGGAUAGAAUUAGCAAGGGAUUUUACCAUUGUAACCACUUGGAGCUGCACCUGGAGCUGAAGUAACCAGGAAAACUGUGUGAAAUAUAAAACAGGUCACUGUAGUGAGGGCCUUCUUAGGCUGACCUCCUUAGGUGCUUUUUUGAACACAACUCCAAGAAGUAUGAUAAAUCCAUGGUGGUGAUCUAAUCUUACUGCUGCAGAGGUUUAACAUUCAAAACAGUGAAGUCUCCAUUUAAAGCCAAGUAUCACCACCUAAUAAAGGCCAUAGUGGAAAAGCUGAGGGACUUUUUCAUUUAAGAAAUAGUAGCUUAUUCAAUCCAUAGAACUACCAGCUUCACCAUCCAUUUUAGAUGGAAGUACUUCCCGUUGAGUAAAAUCAUGAUCAUAUUCUUUCUCUAAUGAUGAUGGCGUGAAGGAUCCCAUCAUGCAGAUAGGGGAAAUCCUAAUUUUUUACUAACCCUGGAAGAACAGUAAGUUGAAAGUCAGCCAGAGAACAAAAUAGAUUGUUAUUUUCUUCUAGUAAACAUUCAGAAAACUGCUGUGUUACUCCAAAGGGGAAAGGUGUCUACAACAGAUCAUGUUCUUUUGCAGCUCUGCUGUGAUCAGCAGGGAAAAUAAAAUCAUGCAAAAAAGGUGUCACUCCCAUCCACAGUACUGAGUAGAAAAAAGCUGAUAUUAAGAAUAGAGCUUUUUUCCCCACAUAUUCCAGGAAGUGGCAUAAUUCAAUUAUGUUUUAUUAAUAUAUAGACAUUAUAUUAGAGAAUAUUUAAGGACAAAAAUUUCAUAAUAAGCAUUGAUACAUUAAAAUUGAGCAAAAUAAAGUUUGUCUUUUAUACACUCCUUUUAACAAAGCCUAGUGACCACAUAGAAAGGAAACUGUACUAAUAGAAUUUUCAAAAAAAUACUACUUCAGUGGUAUAGACUGGAUAGGAAAUCUGAGCCAAAUUAAAUCUGUCGACCAUUUCCUAGAUAUUAUGGAGCCACAAGAUUCUGCCUUAAUUGCACAGAGUUAGUUAGUGUUAGGUCGGCAACUGUGUUCCAAGAAAGCAGUGAUAUUUUAAACCAAGUAGACUUUCCAGAUGACAGAAACAGUUAAGUAAGCAUUGUAAAUUACAUAGAUGAUUGUCAACAAGGAGAAAGACAUUUCUUUCCAAUGUCAAAAACAAUAUUUCCUAAUUUAAAUUUUAAAAAAUAACCCGAAGUGAUUUUCUGGGAAAGAUACAGUCUUAACAAAUUUACCAAGAAAGCAUUGUAGUCGUUGUGCUAGCUUGAGCUAAUAUGAUGAUGGUUUAUUCUCAUAAAUA
This is a non-coding RNA of Zonotrichia albicollis (white-throated sparrow), 5367 nucleotides long. Lineage: Eukaryota; Metazoa; Chordata; Aves; Passeriformes; Passerellidae. The record is from RefSeq and is a predicted model, not a curated record.